Hypoxylon sp. NC1633 is the source of this 109-nucleotide non-coding RNA. Lineage: Eukaryota; Fungi; Ascomycota; Sordariomycetes; Xylariales; Hypoxylaceae. The record is from the annotation of a GenBank genome assembly.
UCUCGAUUGGUCUAGUGGUCAGGAUACCUGCUUGUCACCGUGGUUAAUAUCUUGUAUAUCAUCCGGAGCAGUUUCGCAGGUGGCCGGGGUUCGAUUCCCCGAUCGAGAG